This 328-nucleotide ribosomal RNA is filed under the name uncultured eukaryote. RNAcentral's name for it is "partial 18S ribosomal RNA". It matches the Rfam family "Eukaryotic small subunit ribosomal RNA", at positions 1470 to 1796 of the family's 1831-position model. The record is from RNAcentral.
CCCUUAGAUGUCCUGGGCCGCACGCGCGUUACACUGAUGCAUUCAACGAGCUUAUAACCUUGGCCGAGAGGCCUGGGCAAUCUUGUUAACGUGCAUCGUGAUAGGGAUAGAUUAUUGAAAUUAUUAAUCUUGAACGAGGAAUUCCUAGUAAACGCAGAUCAUCAAUCUGCAUUGGUUACGUCCCUGCCCUUUGUACACACCGCCCGUCGCACCUACCGAUUGGAUGGUCCGGUGAAGCCUCGGGAUUGUGGUUCUUGCCGCUUUAUUGUGGCGUGACCGCGAGAACUUGUCUAAACCUUAUCAUCUAGAGGAAGGUGAAGUCGUAACA